UCUCUCUUCGGAGGUUGACGAUAAUGUGUAAUGAGCGGCGGACGGGUGAGUAACACGUAGGCAACCUGCCUGUAAGACUGGGAUAACUCGUGGAAACGCGAGCUAAUACCGGAUAACACUUUUCAUCUCCUGAUGAGAAGUUGAAAGGCGGCUUUUGCUGUCACUUACAGAUGGGCCUGCGGCGCAUUAGCUAGUUGGUAAGGUAACGGCUUACCAAGGCGACGAUGCGUAGCCGACCUGAGAGGGUGAUCGGCCACACUGGGACUGAGACACGGCCCAGACUCCUACGGGAGGCAGCAGUAGGGAAUCUUCCGCAAUGGACGAAAGUCUGACGGAGCAACGCCGCGUGAGUGAUGAAGGUUUUCGGAUCGUAAAACUCUGUUGUUAGGGAAGAACAAGUACUAUAGUAACUGAUAGUACCUUGACGGUACCUAACCAGAAAGCCACGGCUAACUACGUGCCAGCAGCCGCGGUAAUACGUAGGUGGCAAGCGUUGUCCGGAAUUAUUGGGCGUAAAGCGCUCGCAGGCGGUUCUUUAAGUCUGAUGUGAAAUCUUACGGCUCAACCGUAAACGUGCAUUGGAAACUGGGGAACUUGAGUGCAGAAAAGGAGAGUGGAAUUCCACGUGUAGCGGUGAAAUGCGUAGAGAUGUGGAGGAACACCAGUGGCGAAGGCGACUCUCUGGUCUGUAACUGACGCUAAGGAGCGAAAGCGUGGGGAGCGAACAGGAUUAGAUACCCUGGUAGUCCACGCCGUAAACGAUGAGUGCUAGGUGUUAGGGGGUUUCCGCCCCUUAGUGCUGAAGUUAACGCAUUAAGCACUCCGCCUGGGGAGUACGGCCGCAAGGCUGAAACUCAAAAGAAUUGACGGGGGCCCGCACAAGCGGUGGAACAUGUGGUUUAAUUCGAAGCAACGCGAAGAACCUUACCAGGUCUUGACUCCUCUGAACCUCUAAAGAUAGAUUUUCCCUUCGGGAACAAAUG
This 983-nucleotide ribosomal RNA is filed under the name uncultured Oceanobacillus sp. RNAcentral's name for it is "bacterial SSU rRNA". It matches the Rfam family "Bacterial small subunit ribosomal RNA", at positions 74 to 1033 of the family's 1533-position model. Lineage: Bacteria; Bacillati; Bacillota; Bacilli; Caryophanales; Bacillaceae. The record is from RNAcentral.